CACCGACAGCGAGGACGGUUCCGGGCCGGUAUCGGCUGAACCAGCCGCACGGACACCGGCAGCGGUGGGCUGAACGAAAGGAACUCGACAAUACUGGAGCUAAACGGGUGAGAUUCAUCCAUCCAUAGCGCCGGUGGGGAACAGAGAAAGGGACAGACAGGAAAGAAAAGAACGAAGAGGAGACCAAAUGCAGGCUGCUGCCAGAUGUGAGGCCAGAGCCCGCAGCAGUUACACUGCAGGGAUUUCCAAAUGCCUUUCCCAAUUUACACUUCUGGGUGUCUGAGGCUAAGAAGUUGGGUUGCAAACUGAUCUGAGAGGAAAGUGUUAAAGAAGUUUUGGAUCAGAGGAAGUUCCUGCUGUACCCUGAGCAAAACAAGCCAUAGUUGUAAGCAUUCAGCGAUCCAUCAGCUGCAGAUAAAUGUGCUGAAAGCUUUUGCUGAAAUUACAACAAGGAAUAGAAGAAUCAGAGACACAAGACGUCCAUAGCGCCCUGUGUUGAUAUCGCUGGUUCCAAUCCCUGUCAUAUGAAAUAACUGAUUUCUCUGAGAUUUUAAGGUUUCAACCUAAUUUUAAAAGGAAUUAGAGGGCAAAUCCCACUUCACCACCAUUCCCACUAUCAAAAGGUGAAAAUAUUCACCUUGUAAGAAAUUAUACUCAGAUAUAAUAAAAUAUUUCAACUGGUUUUAAUUUAAUCAACAGCUUCCUUGAUUCCUCAAGAACCUGGCCAUCGCCUGAAAUGUUUGCUUAAAGGGAACCUUCUUUCAGGCUGCUGGGCAAGCUUAGAGGUAUCUGUUCUGCCUUCUGCUUUCCUGCAGCCCAGUGAACACUGCUUUGGGGGAUUCCUCUGACACUCAUUUCCACAAGGAACUGAAAUGGUUGCCUGUAUGUGACAUAUAAAGAAAGGAAUUACACAGUGAUAUUGUUUUCCUAUGUGGAGGCUAAUGCCUAAUUUAAGACUUACAACCUAAUACCUACAGAUCAACUCACUGCUAAUUCUUCCUUUGCCUGAGAUUUUUAUGCAGAAAAGCAAUGAAGAAUUGGAAUGGAUUUGCAAAGCCAGAAGGAAGGAGUAACAAUGCCCUGGUCACAUCAGGAGGGUGCUUUCUGCUCCUAAUCCCAUAUCUGUCAAUGCCUUCUCCUGGUUUACCUGCGCUGCCUGCUUUGCCUAAGAGGCAGCAGCAGUUCAUAUGAGCAACUGUAUUUCCUGCAGCCACAGCAGGUCCUGCUCCAGUCUAAUCAGGGAUGACCUUCAGCUUUCUGGCACAUGGACCUAACAUGGGCAAAGAUCAACUCUGCUGAUUUAAGCAAACCCUUCUGCUCCCAUUAGGGAAGAAGCAGUGUUUGUACUUGCUGAUUAUUGCACAUUUGUUGAGGCUUUGUGGAAACAAACUUAUUCUGAAAUGCAGUUUGGUUUUUUUAGUCAGAAGCAUUGUUGAGUGCUGCUAACAGAUUUUGUUCAAUGAUUGACAAAGCUACAAGUCUCAGCACACUGCAGUGUCUAAAUCCUAUCCUAGAACUCCAAACUAAUACAGUAUUUGACAAAACACAGUUGGUGUUGCGAAGUUGUAUUUGGAAGAAAUAUUUUGUGUAAAAUCUGAACUAAAAUCAUAGAUGUAGAGUUUGAGGAAAAUGAGAAACUUCAGUGUAAAAAUGCUACUGACUCUCUAGGUUGGUGUCUUAGUGUUAAGCCAGUAUGAUGGACUGUAUGGAUGCACGCAAAUCGUCAUUGGGGUGGUGGUGUAAGUAUACUCAAACUUUACUGAAGUUCCACAGGAUGCAGACCACUGAGCUGCAGGCUGAGCACAUCCCCAGCCUACAAGAAACCUGGAGAGGGGCUUGGGACAAGGGCCUGGAGGGACAGGCCAAGGGGAAUGGCUUUAACCUGCCAGAGGGGAGACUGAGAUGAGCUCUUAGGCAGAAGCUCUUCCCUGUGAGGGUGCUGAGGCGCUGGCACAGGGUGCCCAGAGAAGCUGUGGCUGCCCCAUCCCUGGCAGUGUUCAAGGCCAGGUUGGACACAGGGGCUUGGAGCAAGCUGCUCUAGUGGAAGGGGUCCCUGCCCAUGGCAGGGGUUGGAACUGGAGGAGCUUUAAGGUCCCUUCCAACCCAAACCAGACUUUGAUGUAUGAGUUGGGCACACCACCCCCGUGUGCUUGUGAUACCUGCUAAAAGGGAAGCCUCCCCAUCCCACUUCUCAGUGUGCAAUGUUAUAUUCACUUAUCAGGAUAUUACAGACUUGGAAGAUAUCAAAACUGAAGGAAGGAAUUGGGAGCAUGAGAGCUGGGUAGCAUUUGUAGCCUAACCCUCAGUUCACCUUGUGGUUUUAGGCAAGGCAAUUGGCUGCUGGAUGACUCUCUGUAAUACAGGUCAAAUAUUUUAUGUAAUAGCCACAGAGUUUAAGUGAAGGAUUACAUUGUUAUCAUAAGAAGUUACUCUAGAAUACUAUUUUUGAUGUAAUGACACUAUUUAUGAGCCAAAAUCCAAUUUAUAACUUUGGGGCCAGGAGCCAGCUUCCAUCAGUUUGCAGAGCCUAUGUCUGCAGUGUCUCUAGUGCGCACUUGCUUCAGUCCCAAGCCAAUACUUGAGGUCAAAUUCUCUCAUCACGCAUGCUGCCUGCAUGCUGGUGUGUGUGUGCUCUGGCUCCAGCCUGGGAUUAACCAGCUAUCUUUUUAUCAAGGACAUUGUGGUACAGGGUGGAAUCAAUACACAAACUGUGCCUCUCAGGCAACAAGGGCGCAAUUCACUGGAGGUGCUGGUCCGUGAGCACUCAAGCAUGCAUCCAGGAGGUAUCCAAGCAAACAGAGUCCCUUUAAACCCUGCUUUCAAAUACAGUAUGAGCUGUGGGGCUUUAACCUGUACCCAAACUUUGCUUCAACACUUGGGAAAACACUUUGGUGUUAUGUGUCUAUCAUACAC
Molecule: long non-coding RNA, 2913 nt
Organism: Pezoporus occidentalis (night parrot)
Lineage: Eukaryota; Metazoa; Chordata; Aves; Psittaciformes; Psittacidae
Exons: 4
Source: RefSeq, a predicted model, not a curated record